GACAGAAUGAGUUUGCAUCACCCCUUGACAUGUGUUAACUCCUGACUUCCAAGGAUGGCCAUGUUCUUCCAGAUGCUGCAAAACCAGAUCUACAAGUGUGGAAUCAGUAGGCUGUAAGAAUUGUGGAGUACAUCCACUGACUCCAAGGAAAUAGCCAGGCCCACAAACUGGGGAGAGAAGAUGUCGGAGGCUCUCCGGAAGGAGUACAAGGAGCAAAUGCAGUGGAUGUAGAGGUGCCAAGACCAGUGUGUGCAGAUAUCAUUACAAAGAGUGCUACACAAAGGCAGCAUACAGCUCUUAUUCUCUUGGCGAAUUGCAUCUGUUGUUUAGUAGAUGGAGAACUGGUAGAAAAAUGGUUGGAGUAGUUAUGGAGGUAAGAAAAAAACAAAACAGAUGAGUUAUCCUACCAUGACCUGUGUUUCACAUUCCCUAUUCUUUCCUUUCAGCUGUUGAGUUGCUUUGCUGCUUUCAGUGUUCCGAAACUAUUGCACUGAGAGGCACAAAUGGACAAAAAUAAGGACCGAUUAUUAACAUUCACUCCAAAGCUGGGUUUGCAGAUGUGGCCACCAUAGCAACAACAGAAAACAACUUCUUCAGUAACAACUAAUAACAUAGGUAAUUUGGGUGGACUU
This is a long non-coding RNA of Strigops habroptila (Kakapo), 632 nucleotides long. RefSeq lists it as uncharacterized. The transcript has 4 exons. Lineage: Eukaryota; Metazoa; Chordata; Aves; Psittaciformes; Psittacidae. The record is from RefSeq and is a predicted model, not a curated record.